This 497-nucleotide ribosomal RNA is filed under the name uncultured bacterium. RNAcentral's name for it is "partial 16S ribosomal RNA". It matches the Rfam family "Bacterial small subunit ribosomal RNA", at positions 28 to 507 of the family's 1533-position model. The record is from RNAcentral.
GAUGAACGCUGGCGGCGUGCCUAAUACAUGCAAGUCGAGCGAACAGACGAGGAGCUUGCUCCUCUGACGUUAGCGGCGGACGGGUGAGUAACACGUGGAUAACCUACCUAUAAGACUGGGAUAACUUCGGGAAACCGGAGCUAAUACCGGAUAAUAUAUUGAACCGCAUGGUUCAAUAGUGAAAGACGGUUUUGCUGUCACUUAUAGAUGGAUCCGCGCCGCAUUAGCUAGUUGGUAAGGUAACGGCUUACCAAGGCGACGAUGCGUAGCCGACCUGAGAGGGUGAUCGGCCACACUGGAACUGAGACACGGUCCAGACUCCUACGGGAGGCAGCAGUAGGGAAUCUUCCGCAAUGGGCGAAAGCCUGACGGAGCAACGCCGCGUGAGUGAUGAAGGUCUUCGGAUCGUAAAACUCUGUUAUUAGGGAAGAACAAAUGUGUAAGUAACUAUGCACGUCUUGACGGUACCUAAUGAGAAAGCCACGGCUAACUACGUG